CUAAUCUUUUAGUAUGACAGAAAAUGUUACUUGCAUACUGAUUUAAUAGAUACCACAAAACGAAGACGAAGCAAAACGAGCUAGCAAGCCAAGCCAAAUCACCAGGCCAAGUCAAGAGGAUAAUUUAUAUGAAACAACGUUCCAGUCGGUGUGAAUGCACACCAGGUUCUCCUGUCUUUCAUCUCAUGCUAGCUGAGCCACUUUGAGAGAGAAAACAAAAUCAUUCUCAGACUUGUUCUUAGCUGCUUACCACCAGUGUUAGAGGCAGCACAGUACCUCUUGUGUUUCGUUUCCUACUGUAUAUUUAAUGAAACAGCACACUGAAAUCACAGCUUUGAUAUUGGACUGGGUAUUUCAGAGCCAAAUUCUCUUCUCCUGCCAUUUAAACACAGCUUGUUGCAUACCUGCAGGUUUACAAGUGAAACCCAGCCAUCCCCUUCUCCGUGCUUUGCUGGGACAGCACAGGGAUCCAUCUGAACUGUUGUGCUGGGUUCAGCAGACAGCAGCACCUGGAGCCUCAGUGCAAACAGUAAAAACUCGGCCCCUGCCUCAGAUACUCUUAUUAAACAUAUUGCUUCUCUCUCAUCUAAGGAAAUACUCUAUCAGGGGACAGGCAGCAUCGGCGCGCCGCAGCACUGAUAUGGGAAGAAAAUUGCCACAGUAUAUUGUAAUCUGGAAUAAAACGGAGUGGAGCCGAGCAAGGAGGGGAUAA
RNAcentral lists this long non-coding RNA (712 nucleotides) under Numida meleagris (helmeted guineafowl). Its description in RNAcentral is "lncRNA (ENSNMEG00000007515.1)". The record is from RNAcentral. Lineage: Eukaryota; Metazoa; Chordata; Aves; Galliformes; Numididae.